Molecule: ribosomal RNA, 206 nt
Filed under: Enterobacter hormaechei
Lineage: Bacteria; Pseudomonadati; Pseudomonadota; Gammaproteobacteria; Enterobacterales; Enterobacteriaceae
Also listed under: 1 other name
Description: partial 23S ribosomal RNA
Rfam family: Bacterial large subunit ribosomal RNA
Source: RNAcentral
CAUGCCAAUGGCACUGCCCGGUAGCUAAAUGCGGAAGAGAUAAGUGCUGAAAGCAUCUAAGCACGAAACUUGCCCCGAGAUGAGUUCUCCCUGAGACUUUAAGUCUCCUGAAGGAACGUUAAAGACGAUGACGUUGAUAGGUCGGGUGUGUAAGCGCAGCGAUGCGUUGAGCUAACCGAUACUAAUGAACCGUGAGGCUUAACCUU